UGCUGCAAAACCAGGGAGCAUGAAAAACGCAGCUCUGUGACUUCCUGCAGGAAUUUGGAGGCAGGUCAACGCUUCUUUUCGUUGUUGUUGCUUGUGAGGGAAAUGCUGCAUGUGUUUGGAUACAUGUCUGCACUGGACUCCUGCACACUGUGAACACAGACUGAUCCCUCUCAAAAGUUGUGAGCGAGUCGGAAGACAUCCAGACAUCCGUGCAUCUUUCUAUUUGACCGCCGGCAACUCGCUGUGUGCAGAGAGACUGGCCCCGGGAAUCCCCGUUGCAGCUUCUCCACACUCUGACGCUGACGUUUAGCGUCCGUGUCAAGACUGCAUCCCUGACAUGUCCAGCUGUGAGAAGCUGCAUGAGACGGCGAUUCUUCCCUUAAAACAAACUGAACAACCUCAUCGUUGCCUCUUGCCGUUUCCAUAUGAGAUUCGGCAGAAUUAGGCAGGACUGGCCCGGACCACUCACUUUCAACUUCACAUAGUCUGAAUUCCGGGCUUCCGCAGACAGACUAGAAGACUCUCAAGGACGUUAAGGACACGAAUAGGGUCUCAUUCGUCUUGGAGCAGCUUGUGGCUUUUUGCCAGCAGCCAUGCAGGUGUCCUUUGCGUGUACGGACCACGGGCUGAAGGCCCCUCGCAACGGCGAGCACAGCAAGCAGAACGCCACCAGCCCCAACACGACCAGCCAUGCCCGAGCCCGCUUCCGCACCGUGGCCCUGAUCGCCCGCAGCCUGGGCUCCUUCACCCACCGCUACCACCACAACCUGAAGGAGUCCACUGCCAAGUUGACCGGCAUGAAAUACCGGAACCUGGGGAAAUCUGGUUUACGUGUCUCCUGUCUGGGUCUUGGAACAUGGGUAACAUUUGGAGGUCAGAUCUCUGAUGAGGUAGCAGAGCAGCUGAUGACCAUUGCCUAUGAGAGUGGGGUCAACCUGUUCGAUACGGCCGAAGUCUACUCUGGGGGAAAAGCAGAGAUUAUCUUGGGAAAUAUCAUCAAGAAGAAGUGCUGGAGGAGAUCCAGCCUUGUGAUCACCACAAAGCUCUACUGGGGAGGAAAAGCUGAGACAGAGAGAGGCCUCAACCGAAAACACAUCAUUGAAGGUUUAAAGGGUUCCCUCCAGAGGAUGCAGCUCGAAUAUGUGGAUGUGGUCUUUGCCAACCGGACGGACAGCAACACUCCUAUGGAGGAAAUUGUGAGAGCUAUGACUCAUGUGAUCAACCAAGGGAUGUCCAUGUACUGGGGAACAUCUCGUUGGUCUGCCAUGGAGAUCAUGGAAGCCUAUUCUGUGGCCAGACAGUUUAAUCUUAUUCCACCGGUGUGCGAGCAGGCUGAGUAUCAUUUCUUCCAGCGGGAGAAGGUGGAAACUCAGCUUCCUGAGCUCUACCAUAAAAUAGGUGUGGGUGUGGUCUCUUGGUCUCCUCUGGCAUGUGGGAUUAUCACUGGAAAGUAUGAUAAUGGCAUCCCAGAAUCCUCAAGAGCUGCAAUGAAGCCAUAUCAGUGGUUGAGGGAGAAGAUAACGAGUGAGGAUGGAAGAAAACAGCAAUCCAAACUAAAAGAACUGACUCAUAUUGGAGAAAAACUAGGAUGCACCUUGCCACAGUUAGCCAUAGACCAAUAUUCUGCUAUCCUGAUCUUAAGCCUGGUGCUUGAGGAAUGAGGGCGUCAGCUCAGUGCUCCUGGGGGCCUCCAAUCCCACCCAGCUAACAGAAAACCUGGGAGCCAUUCAGGUAAUUCCAAAGAUUACAGCAGGUAUUGCUUCAGAAAUGGACCAUAUUCUGGGCAACCGUCCACACAGUAAAAGGGACUACCACCACUAGGAUGGACACUUUCUACUAAAGCGCUCAUAAGGCUUUUCAAAGCUCACUUUUCACAGCCAUGGCACCAUAAGUGCGUGCCCACGACUGCGUGUAUCUGUGGAGGACUGUGUGAUUAUACUUGGCUCUUUCAACUCAUAACUGUGAAGUGGGCUACAUGACGACAAAGCGCGCAUGCAAAACCAGCCAGUUAUCAGACUGAACACGAUUUGUAGGAUCCAUCAAGACAAUUCCCUGCAUUGAAAAGAAAAAACCUCACCAACAGCGAACUUUGCAGAAGGUGCUGACCCACAUAGUGCUGGAAAAAGAAUAGAAUUAAUUGUUUAAAUAUUCUGUUAAAAUGGCUGUCAGUGCAUGUAGAGAAAACCUCUGAGGAACUAAUUACCUCUAAGCAUCCAAUUAAGCAUAGCAGAGCACUAUGAUAAUAGAUUAUUUGCAUCAAAAUGGACCUAAUGCUAGAGUAAUCUAUUUUACUGUAUAAUGUAUGUAUUGUAAAAAGAAUUACAAAUGGUGAUUAUAAUGAGCCAUAUUUCAGCAGAAUGGAUGAACAUUCCCCAAUGCAGCUGGAGCUUGCUUGUCCAUGUGAUUCCUGCAGAACUGGAAGAUCUAAAUGUCAGCUAAACAUUGUCUUUGCUAUUGCCAUAAAAAAAGUUUAAUUAGUUUAAAUGAAAUAUAUAUGUCUCAAAACAUAUGUAAUGACUGUUACAUAAGUAUGUAUUUCUUUAAUGAGCAGUUAUGUUGUUCUGUUCUCUUUUUCACUUAUGCAACAGCACCGCAGAGUGUAUUUUCCUACUGUGCCCUUUCAACCUAUUUUAGUUUGUACGCUGGCAGUUUCUGUCAGUGGGAAUUGUUUCUGAUUCAUUUCAUUUCAGUCGGUACUGUGGAUAGAAAAGUGUCUCAUUGAAGUCGGGGUGAUGAUCCUCCUGCAGGGGAGCUUGUGGAUAACAAAUAAAGCCAUGUGGCUAAUGGAGAGACAUAGUGGUGAAAAAAUUAAAAAGAACACCAUAUGGACCCUUGCAGUAAUUGCACCUGGAACAAACAGAGUUUUUUCCCAGUUUCUCCCAGAUGGUUGUUUUAUGUAAUGGGAUCAUCUUUGCUAUGUUCUGUUUGUCCAGAUAUGUAUUAUGGUGUUGUUCAUCAAAUUUGUACAUGAAAAUUAAAGAAACGCUUAGAAUCGUA
RNA transcript from Xiphophorus couchianus (Monterrey platyfish), 2997 nucleotides. It is a transcript of the gene named potassium voltage-gated channel subfamily A regulatory beta subunit 1b, with no coding region annotated. NCBI's taxonomy places the organism in Eukaryota, Metazoa, Chordata, Actinopteri, Cyprinodontiformes, Poeciliidae. The record is from RefSeq and is a predicted model, not a curated record. The transcript has 15 exons.